Long non-coding RNA from Sinocyclocheilus grahami, 523 nucleotides. RefSeq lists it as uncharacterized. The record is from RefSeq and is a predicted model, not a curated record. NCBI's taxonomy places the organism in Eukaryota, Metazoa, Chordata, Actinopteri, Cypriniformes, Cyprinidae. The transcript has 3 exons.
CAGAUACAUCAUCAGCUAUAAUACAUGUUUACCAAGUUCCGGAGGUCGCCACGGUUUCCACUCAGAACAAGCUUCGGUGAAUUUAAGUAUUGUCCGGUUGUUAGUCUGCACUGUGUAGGCCUGUGUCUGUGUGAAGAAUGGUAUGCAAAAUACAAUAGUGUCAUAAUGAUCGCAAUAUUAUGUUUGAUGGCAAUGAUUAUUCCCAGUUUGCAUUGCUAAAUGCGCAAUCAUGAUUCAAAAUAGCUGCAUUAUGUUUGUCAAAAUAAUUGCAAUGUAAGCCAAUGCUUUAGAAUAAUCUACAUGUUGUUUAUCGUCUCUAAAGAUGACUUAAUUAGUAGUUAUGUUUUACCAAGUUUAAUGGCUGGCAUUUGGAUGUUAAGAAGAUUAAGACGCAGCAAAACGAUCUGUGUGAAAAAUAUGUCCAAAAAAGGCCAACAUUUGUAACUGACUAGCGUUGAGGAUUUUGUAGCAACAAGAGCUCUGUAAAACAGAUGUCCAAAAAAGACUGCCUCUGCAAAGUAAU